CAGAGUUGCAAAACUCCCAAACCACUGUGAACUUACCAAUCGUUGCUUCGGCGGGCCGGCUCUACGGCCGCGCGGGUCCCCCCCCCCGGGGGAGCGCCCGCCGGAGGUAUCUAAACCAGACGUUUUUGUAUGGCCUCUCUGAGCAACUGUACCGAAUAAGUCAAAACUUUCAACAACGGAUCUCUUGGUUCUGGCAUCGAUGAAGAACGCAGCGAAAUGCGAUAAGUAAUGUGAAUUGCAGAAUUCAGUGAAUCAUCGAAUCUUUGAACGCACAUUGCGCCCGCCAGCAUUCUGGCAGGCAUGCCUGUUCGAGCGUCAUUUCGACCAUCAAGCCCCCCGGCUUGUGUUGGGGACCUGCGGUUGCCCGCAGGCCCUGAAAACCAGUGGCGGGCCCGACGGCACUCCGAGCGCAGUAGCACCUGUCUCGCUCAGGGCGUGCCGCGGGUUUCUUCCCGGCCGUUAAACAGCGCCUUUCGCAAG
This 480-nucleotide unclassified non-coding RNA is filed under the name uncultured Stellatospora. Its description in RNAcentral is "sequence contains ITS1, 5.8S rRNA gene, ITS2". The stretch from base 165 to 318 matches the Rfam family "5.8S ribosomal RNA". Lineage: Eukaryota; Fungi; Ascomycota; Sordariomycetes; Sordariales; Chaetomiaceae. The record is from RNAcentral.